This 253-nucleotide ribosomal RNA is filed under the name uncultured bacterium. Its description in RNAcentral is "partial 16S ribosomal RNA". It matches the Rfam family "Bacterial small subunit ribosomal RNA", at positions 524 to 776 of the family's 1533-position model. The record is from RNAcentral.
UACGGAGGGUGCAAGCGUUGCUCGGAAUCAUUGGGCGUAAAGCGCGUGUAGGCGGCCAACUAAGUCUGAUGUGAAAUCCCAGGGCUCAACCCUGGAACUGCAUCGGAUACUGGAUGGCUAGAGGAUGAGAGAGGAUGGUGGAAUUCCUGGUGUAGGGGUGAAAUCCGUAGAUAUCAGGAGGAACAUCGGUGGCGAAGGCGGCCAUCUGGCUCAUUUCUGACGCUGAGACGCAAAAGCGUGGGGAGCAAACAGG